RNAcentral lists this ribosomal RNA (406 nucleotides) under uncultured bacterium. Its description in RNAcentral is "partial 16S ribosomal RNA". It matches the Rfam family "Bacterial small subunit ribosomal RNA", at positions 30 to 526 of the family's 1533-position model. The record is from RNAcentral.
AUUGAACGCUAGCGGGAUGCUUUACACAUGCAAGUCGAACGAGUGGCGGACGGGUGAGUAAUGUCUGGGAAACUGCCUGAUGGAGGGGGAUAACUACUGGAAACGGUAGCUAAUACCGCAUACCAUCAGAUGUGCCCAGAUGGGCUUAGCUUGUUGGUGGGGUAACGGCUCACCAAGGCGACGAUACCUAGCUGGGCUGAGAGGAUGACCAGCCACACUGGAACUGAGACACGGUCCAGAAUCCUACGGGAGGCAGCAGUGGGGAAUAUUGCACAAUGGGCGCAAGCCUGAUGCAGCCAUGCCGCGUGGAUGAAGAAGGCCGUCGGGUUGGAAAGUACUUUCAGCGGGGAGGCGUUACCCGCAGAAGAAGCACCGGCUAACUCCGUGACAGCAGCCGCGGUAAUUC